This 2161-nucleotide long non-coding RNA is filed under the name Lotus japonicus. RNAcentral's name for it is "long non-coding RNA (LJAP_LNC000855)". The record is from RNAcentral. Lineage: Eukaryota; Viridiplantae; Streptophyta; Magnoliopsida; Fabales; Fabaceae.
UGGGGUAGAAGCACGGUGGAGUUUGAGAGUUGAGAGUUGAAAGUCUGAAGUGGAAUCGUGAUGGGGUUCAGGAGAAGAGACUAUAUUGGAAAUGGCGAGUUCGAAUUUGGGUUUGCGGUGUAAAUUUGAACGGAAAUAGGAGCUGAGAGUGCAUAGUUUUCGAACGCGCAUCUAGGCUACAAUGUGAAGAAGAAGAAGAUGAAGAUGAAUUUGAUGUUUGCUUCAAAAAAUGAAGAAAUUGUUCUACUUUUUCUGAAUGAUUUUCGAGUUCAAGUGGGAAAUAGAAGAAGAAAGAAGAAAUGGAGUUUGCAACAAGAAACAAAAACGAAAAGGUAGCAAAAAAGAGUGUUAUGUGAAAUGUGUGUGAAUGAAUGGUGAAUAUGGUGAAGAAGCUCAUGCAAAGUUUCUUCCAAAAGUGCACAAUACAAGGUUUUAUUUAGUAUACCUAGAUGCCCGGGCACAUAGGAAAAAAUUGAACCAUAUUAGUAAAUUAUUAUAAGACUCCAAUUUAUAUAUUUCAAAAAAUCUUUUCAAAAAAAAAAUGUACAUGAAAAAAUAUUAGAAUUAGAAAUUGAUUUAAAAAUAGGUACUAUAGAAUAAAAAAUAAAGAUGGGAUUAUGAAUUGAAUUAAAAAGUAAGAUGAUACCAUCAAAUAUCAAUGUUCAAAAAAGAUAAUACCAUCAAAGUGUUGUUGGCGUUGUGGUAAGUAAGUUUUUUUUUAUAAAAUUGUGGUAAGUAAGUUGGACCUCCAUAAGAAUGAUAGUACAAAUUCGAAUAUCGAAAAAUACAUUUAUUAGUAAGGAGCAUGCAACUAUAUCCUAAACGAGUGGUAACCCACGUCAUCAUUUCAUAGUAACCCAACCGUGAAGUCGAACUGGCAUUCUCAGCUUUGAUAACAUCAGAGAAAAGUUCAAAUUCUCGAACCAUACCCAAGUCAAUUAGAUACUGAAGAAUUGGGCGGUAUGUUUGCUCUCCUAGUGGGAAACCAUAUUCCCUCAUUAAUUUGAGAAGGUGAAAAGCCUUACUCAAUUCUUCUAUAGCAAUGUCUUCAUCAUCAGCUCCCCUAGCCUUCUUUACACACAAUUGUAUCAACUUAUUGUACUCUUUCAGACCUGUUUCCCGACCCAGAUGGCCAAACACCUCAACAGUAGCUUUAGAUCCUAGUCUUUUCGCGCACAUACCAAGUAACCUGUCAGAACGGUCCUCGUUACUGUAUUUAAAUACCCAUUUUUGUUUCCUCUCACGAGAUACCUCCUUCCGCUUAACUGAAAUAUCCCCACUAGGAACAUCCGGUACCCAUGGUAUCUCUAGUAUUCUUCUGUCUUUUUCUUCUUUACCAUUUUCCUCAGAAACAAGCUUCUUUACCGGAGGCGCUACAAACAGAAACAGCGCGCGCGCGCACAAAACCGAUAUAAGAUAACAAGAAAACCAUAGCCAUAUUCGAAACCCCUACUCCCCUCAUCAUCCUAGAGUAAAAUCCAAAACUCAAACUCACACAGUAAAUUUCACAAACACUUACAAGGCAAUAUAAUAGAUGCAAGCUGAGUCGUCGCAACAUCCGAAUCAGACGAAUCCUCUGCACCAAAACAUCAAAAAACCAAAAUUGUCACACACAAAAAUAGCCCAACAACACAGAAAGCAAACAAAAACAACACUUUUUGCUCAUUCAGCUCCAGAAAACAAGACCCAUUAAAGCAAUAAACCGCAUCAAUAACUUUUAACAAAAACUAAAAUGUGGGUAUGGGUAAAAAUUGAAACUUUGAUGUGGGUUUAUAGUUUAAAGCACCUGGGGUAGAAGCACGGUGGAGUUUGAGAGUUGAGAGUUGAAAGUCUGAAGUGGAAUCGUGAUGGGGUUCAGGAGAAGAGACUAUAUUGGAAAUGGCGAGUUCGAAUUUGGGUUUGCGGUGUAAAUUUGAACGGAAAUAGGAGCUGAGAGUGCAUAGUUUUCGAACGCGCAUCUAGGCUACAAUGUGAAGAAGAAGAAGAUGAAGAUGAAUUUGAUGUUUGCUUCAAAAAAUGAAGAAAUUGUUCUACUUUUUCUGAAUGAUUUUCGAGUUCAAGUGGGAAAUAGAAGAAGAAAGAAGAAAUGGAGUUUGCAACAAGAAACAAAAACGAAAAGGUAGCAAAAAAGAGUGUUAUGUGAAAUGUGUGUGAAUGAAUG